This 326-nucleotide long non-coding RNA is filed under the name Fragaria vesca (wild strawberry). RNAcentral describes it as "long non-coding RNA (FVES_LNC000081)". Lineage: Eukaryota; Viridiplantae; Streptophyta; Magnoliopsida; Rosales; Rosaceae. The record is from RNAcentral.
UCUUGCCGGAGAGGCGCUCGGUGGAUUCACCUCUGUUCCAGAUCAAUCUUUGGCCGCACCUCUCAAACCUAGAACUCGCCGAUCCGAAGCAAAAUGAAGAUGAAGAUCAACAAGGCCUGCGAUCUCCGCUCCAUCUUCGUCCUUCCUCCUCACUCAAGGUUUAAAUUCGCUACAAUCUCAAAUUUCGUCGACGAUGUUAUUAACUCGAUUGGUGAUUUUCUUAUUUCUGUUUGUGGAUUUUAGGAUGCUAACUUGAUCAGCAGUACGUCUUUCUCCGACGUCGAUCUCUGAUUUGGAGUCAUCGAUCUCUGAUUUGAAGUCGAUCU